CCUACGGGUGGCAGCAGUGAGGAAUAUUGGUCAAUGGACGAGAGUCUGAUCCAGCCACGUAGCGUGAAGGAUGACUUCCCUCUGGGUUGUAAACUUCUUUUAUAUGGGAAUAAAAUGUUCCACGUGUGGGAUUUUGUAUGUACCAUAUGAAUAAGGAUCGGCUAACUCCGUGCCAGCAGCCGCGGUAAUACGGAGGAUCCGAGCGUUAUCCGGAUUUAUUGGGUUUAAAGGGAGCGUAGGUGGAUUGUUAAGUCAGGUGUGAAAGUUUGCGGCUCAACCGUAAAAUUGAAGUUGAAACUGGCAGGCUUGAGUACAGGAGAGGUGGGCGGAAUUCGUGGUGUAGCGGUGAAAUGCUUAGAUAUCACGAAGAACUCCGAUUGCGAAGGCAGUUCACUGGACUGCAACUGACACUGAGGCUCGAAAGUGUGGGUAUCAAACAGGAUUAGAUACCCUGGUAGUC
This 460-nucleotide ribosomal RNA is filed under the name uncultured bacterium. RNAcentral's name for it is "partial 16S ribosomal RNA". It matches the Rfam family "Bacterial small subunit ribosomal RNA", at positions 338 to 795 of the family's 1533-position model. The record is from RNAcentral.